This is a long non-coding RNA of Hypanus sabinus (Atlantic stingray), 1417 nucleotides long. RefSeq lists it as uncharacterized. The transcript has 3 exons. The record is from RefSeq and is a predicted model, not a curated record. Lineage: Eukaryota; Metazoa; Chordata; Chondrichthyes; Myliobatiformes; Dasyatidae.
CGGUCCUGUCUCCUGCUGCUGGGAUACGGGAGCUGGCCCGCAGCGGCUGCCGAUGGAGCUCCGGUGUGUGAGCGCUCCCCUGUGCAAAAGGACAGGCUGAAGGCCCAGGGAGAACCAGGCGCAAAGAUUGAACAGGGAGCGCUGAGAGCACCGGACAUCUAUCGGCAGCCGCUGCCGUUAUUUCAUGUUCUCGUUGUUUAUUUGCAUUGGCGAAGUUUGUUGUCUUCUGCACUCUGGCUGAUCUUUCAGUGAUCCAGAUAUAGCUACCGUUCUGUAGCUUUGCUCUGUAUGUUUGUAGGAGUUGUAUGUGGUGACUUAUAUGUACACUGUUAGUUUUUGGAAUAGUCGCUUGGGUAAUCUGAGGUGGAGGAGUAUUUGGGGCUUAUUUAAAACUAUGCAUAGAUAUUAUCCAAAUAGUAUUUAUCUGACGGGUUAAUUCUGAUAUUGAAACUAACUGUUAUUUUUGUGGUUGAUAUCCAGAGGAUUUAUUUAAUCUGUUUUGGGAUUGUGAAUAUGUUAAAACAUUUUGGGUUGAUGUUUGUCAAUUUAUAGAUCAAUAUAUUAAUGUGGAUUUUACUUUUUGUUUUGAAAAUGUCUUAUCUGGGUUUACUAAUUUUACUUUGAUCUUUGAGCCUUUGGGAACUUGUUUUGUUUCUGAUAUCAAACCUUGACUGACAUAUCCAGCAACCGGCAGCAGCCCGUCCUCGGAUACACUCACAGCCAAUCAGAGAACACCCCUGAGAGACUCUUGCCUCCAUUGGCUGACGAGUGUCAGUGGGCGUCCCGCUGGGCGGACCGAAGUUUGGAACCGGGAACGAGUGGACCCGGUGAGAGACCCGAGAUUGGGAGCAGCUCCCCGGGUAAAGGCUGCAACAGCGGCCGGAGUUUUGAAUCCUUCCGACGGCGGAGGUGAAGAUUCGGGCGGAGACACCGUGAGAUGUUUCAACCACACAGGGGUGCCCGGUCUUUCCCCGCCGUGGAUCGGAGCCUGUUGUCCGGAGUUUCCUCCCGGUCCUGUCUCCUGCUGCUGGGAUCCGGGAGCUGGCCCGCAGCGGCUGCCGAUGGAACUCCGGUGCUGUGAGCGCUCCCCUGUGCAAAAGGACAGGCUGAAGGUCAAAGGAGAACCAGGCGCAAAGGUGACUAAAGUAGCCGGAGGAAGCAACAGGACUUGUGCUUACUAAAGGAACUCGUGACUGCAAACACUGAACGCUGUGCAGGAAUGAGGAAGUAACAGAGACGACUCAACCGGAGAUGGCAGCAACAACAAAUGUAUCGGGAACACGGAGCUCGCUGGGAACAGUAACCUCGUCUCGUUCUUAUGUACAGAAGGAAUAUUUUAUAAACGUUGUGUUUGAGUUCCCCUCCCAUCCCUGGUGAGAAUGGAGGUGAACUUACCCCCUGCAGGUAAUAAAGAAUA